AUGCUUGGGAAGCACUACACCAACAACUGGAAAGAAACACAGAAGAGAUUCUCAUGCUCAGUGCACAAGGAUGGCAUGCAUAAAUGUAUGAAGCAUUUCAUUUUUGU
This 107-nucleotide small nuclear RNA is filed under the name Choloepus hoffmanni (Hoffmann's two-fingered sloth). Lineage: Eukaryota; Metazoa; Chordata; Mammalia; Pilosa; Megalonychidae. The record is from RNAcentral.